This 48-nucleotide transfer RNA is filed under the name Erythranthe glaucescens. Its description in RNAcentral is "partial tRNA-Leu". RNAcentral also lists the same sequence under 3 other names. Lineage: Eukaryota; Viridiplantae; Streptophyta; Magnoliopsida; Lamiales; Phrymaceae. The record is from RNAcentral.
AAAAUCCGUCGACUUUAAAAAUCGUGAGGGUUCAAGUCCCUNUAUCCC